This 57-nucleotide transfer RNA is filed under the name Podarcis lilfordi (Lilford's wall lizard). Its description in RNAcentral is "tRNA.Undet". It matches the Rfam family "tRNA". Rfam says of the family: Transfer RNA (tRNA) molecules are approximately 80 nucleotides in length. Their secondary structure includes four short double-helical elements and three loops (D, anti-codon, and T loops). The record is from RNAcentral. Lineage: Eukaryota; Metazoa; Chordata; Lepidosauria; Squamata; Lacertidae.
GCAGUUCAGUGGCAGAACAUCUGCAGAAGAUCCUGGGUUCAAUCCCCAGCAGCUCCA